GAAAGUAAUGAAGGGCGUACGGUGGAUGCCUAGGCUCUUACAGGCGAUGAAGGACGUGAUAAGCUGCGAAAAGCCGCGGUGAGGCGCAAAUGGCCCUUGACCCGCGGAUCUCCGAAUGGGACAACCCAAUAUCUUGAAGAGAUAUUAUCCCGCCGGUGCGGGAGGCGAACGCGGGGAACUGAAACAUCUUAGUACCCGCAGGAAAAGAAAAUAAAGAAUGAUUCCCCCAGUAGUGGCGAGCGACCGGGGAAGAGCCCAAACCGACGUUGUCUCGGCAUCGUCGGGGUUGUAGGACCGCGCCAUCGCAAGAAAGGCCGUGAGUGGAAGCGACUGGAAAGCCGCGCCAUAGAGGGUGACAGCCCCUUACACGAAGCAGCCUGAAGCGUAGCGGACUCCUGAGUAGCGCGGGACACGAGUAAUCCUGUGUGAAUCCGCCGGGCCCAUCCGGCAAGGCUAAAUACUCGUAAGAGACCGAUAGUGAACCAGUACCGUGAGGGAAAGGUGAAAAGGACCCCUUGCAGGGGAGUGAAAGAGUUCCUGAAACCGUACGCCUACAAGCGGUCGGAGCAUCUUGAAUGAUGUGACGGCGUGCCUUUUGCAUAAUGAACCUACGAGUUGCCGUCACCAGCGAGGUUAAGUGCGACGACGCACCGAGCCGCAGCGGAAGCGAGUCUUAAAAGGGCGCGAUAGUUGGUGGAGGCAGACGCGAAACCGAGUGAUCUACACUUGUCCAGGAUGAAGUCCCGGUAACACGGGAUGGAGGUCCGCACCAAUAAGCGUUGAAAAGCUUCUGGAUGAGGUGAGUGUAGGAGUGAAAGGCCAAUCAAACUCGGAGAUAGCUCGUACUCCCCGAAAGGCAUUUAGGUGCCGCCUGUGGCGUUCCCGACGUGAGGUAGAGCGACUGAUAGGAUGCGAGGGCUUCACCGCCUAUCAAGUCCUGACAAACUCCGAAUGCACGUCGGCCAAGCCAUGGAGUAAGGGCAUGGGUGCUAAGGUCCGUGCCCGAGAGGAGAAGAAUCCAGACCACCGGCUAAGGUCCCGAAAUACUGGUUAAGUUAGACUAACGCAGUCCGGCCCCCAAGACAGCUAGGAUGUUGGCUUGGAAGCAGCCAUUCAUUCAAAGAGUGCGUAACAGCUCACUAGUCGAGGAGCUGGGCGUGGAUAAUAAUCGGGUAUAAAACCAGUUACCGAAGCCGUGGGAUGCUCAAGCAUCGGUAGGGGAGCAUUGCAUGCGGCUUGGAAGGCGGGGCGCGAGCCCCUCUGGAGCGCAUGGAAACGCAAAUGUAGGUAUAAGUAACGACAAGGGGGGUGGGAUGCCCCCCCGCCGAAAGACCAAGGUUUCCUGAACAACGCUAAUCGGUUCAGGGUCAGUCGGGUCCUAAGCAUAAGCCGUAUGGCGAGGGCGAUGGAUGAAACGGUUAAUAUUCCGUUACUGUCUUGGUGUGUGACGCGGCGACGGAGUAGUGACACGGCCGCCUCCUGACGGAAAAGGGGGUUGAAGCGCAAAGGUGUCGAGGAAGGCAGGCAAAUCCACCUUCCGAGCCGAAGCGCGAUAGUACGCUGCGCCCUUUGGGGCAAGGCGAUAGUGCCGGUAAUCAGACUUCCAAGAAAACCCGCUAAACUUCAGCACCAAGUCACCCGUACUCCAAACGGACACACGUGGUCGGGUAGAAUAUACUAAGGCGCUUGGGAGAUUCACGGUUAAGGAACUAGGCAAAUUGACCCCGUACCUUCGGAAUAAGGGGUCCUCGCUUUUGCGAGGCGCAGAGAAUAGGUCCAGGCAACUGUUUAACAAAAACACAGGGCUGUGCCAAUUUGAAAGAAGAAGUAUACAGCCUGACACCUGCCCGGUGCCGGAAGGUUAAGAGGAGAGCUCAUCAGCGAUGAGAAGGCUUGAAUUGAAGCCCCGGUAAACGGCGGCCGUAACUAUAACGGUCCUAAGGUAGCGAAAUUCCUUGUCGGGU
This 1964-nucleotide ribosomal RNA is filed under the name human gut metagenome. RNAcentral's name for it is "bacterial LSU rRNA". It matches the Rfam family "Bacterial large subunit ribosomal RNA", at positions 1 to 1977 of the family's 2925-position model. RNAcentral also lists the same sequence under 1 other name. The record is from RNAcentral.